RNAcentral lists this signal recognition particle RNA (99 nucleotides) under Anaerolineae bacterium. RNAcentral describes it as "signal recognition particle sRNA small type". It matches the Rfam family "Bacterial small signal recognition particle RNA". Rfam says of the family: The signal recognition particle (SRP) is a universally conserved ribonucleoprotein involved in the co-translational targeting of proteins to membranes. Lineage: Bacteria; Bacillati; Chloroflexota; Anaerolineae. The record is from RNAcentral.
GGCUGGGUCCUGCGCGGCAGACCCUCCGAACCGUGUCAGGUCCGUGAGGAAGCAGCACUAAGGGGUUCAGUCUGGGUGCCGUGGGUUUACCUGGCCAGU